GACGAACGCUGGCGGCGUGCUUAACACAUGCAAGUCGAACGGAAAGGCCCUGCUUUUGUGGGGUGCUCGAGUGGCGAACGGGUGAGCAACACGUGAGUAACCUGCCCUUGACUUUGGGAUAACUUCAGGAAACUGGGGCUAAUACCGGAUAGGAGCUCCUGCUGCAUGGUGGGGGUUGGAAAGUUUCGGCGGUUGGGGAUGGACUCGCGGCUUAUCAGCUUGUUGGUGGGGUAGUGGCUUACCAAGGCUUUGACGGGUAGCCGGCCUGAGAGGGUGACCGGCCACAUUGGGACUGAGAUACGGCCCAGACGCCUACGGGAGGCAGCAGUGGGGAAUAUUGCACAAUGGGCGGAAGCCUGAUGCAGCAACGCCGCGUGCGGGAUGACGGCCUUCGGGUUGUAAACCGCUUUCGACUGUGACGAAGCGUGAGUGACGGUAAUGGGUAAAGAAGCAACGGCUAACUACGUG
This 468-nucleotide ribosomal RNA is filed under the name uncultured bacterium. RNAcentral's name for it is "partial 16S ribosomal RNA". It matches the Rfam family "Bacterial small subunit ribosomal RNA", at positions 28 to 507 of the family's 1533-position model. The record is from RNAcentral.